Long non-coding RNA from Pogona vitticeps (central bearded dragon), 314 nucleotides. RefSeq lists it as uncharacterized. The record is from RefSeq and is a predicted model, not a curated record. Lineage: Eukaryota; Metazoa; Chordata; Lepidosauria; Squamata; Agamidae.
GUCUCUCCUGCGCCUCUUUCCUCGGCAAGCGGCGUCCUGCACGCACCAGGGUGCCAGCCGGGCAGCGUUGGGAGGAACGUGUGCAUGUGUACGUGCAGCACCAGUUCUAAAAGCACGACACUAAUCAGCUGCUAUGGAACAUGUGUUUACUCCAUUGGAAUGUCUGCUUCCCACUGGGCCCAGAGCAGCUUGCAUCAUUAAAAAGGUGGACAUGGAGUCAGAAUAAAGCUUACCCACUAACAGGAGGAAAAGAAGUAGAAACUACUUACUGUGGAACCAGUCCCAGCCUGAAGCCCAGCUAUAUAUCCAACAGG